GAUGAACGCUGGCGGCGUGCCUAAUACAUGCAAGUCGAGCGAACGGACGAGAAGCUUGCUUUUCUGAUGUUAGCGGCGGACGGGUGAGUAACACGUGGAUAACCUACCUAUAAGACUGGGAUAACUUCGGGAAACCGGAGCUAAUACCGGAUAAUAUUUUGAACCGCAUGGUUCAAAAGUGAAAGACGGUCUUGCUGUCACUUAUAGAUGGAUCCGCGCUGCAUUAGCUAGUUGGUAAGGUAACGGCUUACCAAGGCAACGAUGCAUAGCCGACCUGAGAGGGUGAUCGGCCACACUGGAACUGAGACACGGUCCAGACUCCCACGGGAGGCAGGAGUAGGGAAUCUUCCGCAAUGGGCGAAAGCCUGACGGAGCCACGCCGCGUGAGUGAUGAAGGUCUUCGGAUCGUAAAACUCUGUUAUUAGGGAAGAACAUAUGUGUAAGUAACUGUGCACAUCUUGACGGUACCUAAUCAGAAAGCCACGGCUAACUACGUG
Molecule: ribosomal RNA, 497 nt
Filed under: uncultured bacterium
Lineage: Bacteria
Description: partial 16S ribosomal RNA
Rfam family: Bacterial small subunit ribosomal RNA
Source: RNAcentral